Molecule: ribosomal RNA, 201 nt
Filed under: uncultured bacterium
Lineage: Bacteria
Description: partial 16S ribosomal RNA
Rfam family: Bacterial small subunit ribosomal RNA
Source: RNAcentral
GCAGGCUGCAACUCGCCUGCACGAAGUCGGAAUUGCUAGUAAUCGUAGGUCAGCAUACUACGGUGAAUACGUUCCCGGGCCUUGUACACACCGCCCGUCAAACCAUGAGAGUUGGCAACACCCGAAGUCGGUAGUCUAACCGCAAGGAGGACGCCGCCGAAGGUGGGGUUGAUGAUUAGGGUUAAGUCGUAACAAGGUACC